This 537-nucleotide ribosomal RNA is filed under the name Aureobasidium pullulans. Its description in RNAcentral is "eukaryotic LSU rRNA". It matches the Rfam family "Eukaryotic large subunit ribosomal RNA", at positions 74 to 626 of the family's 3401-position model. Lineage: Eukaryota; Fungi; Ascomycota; Dothideomycetes; Dothideales; Saccotheciaceae. The record is from RNAcentral.
AUUGCCCUAGUAACGGCGAGUGAAGCGGCAACAGCUCAAAUUUGAAAGCUGGCCUUCGGGUCCGCAUUGUAAUUUGUAGAGGAUGCUUUGGGUGAAACGCCAGUCUAAGUUCCUUGGAACAGGACGUCAUAGAGGGUGAGAAUCCCGUAUGUGACUGGAAAUGUUAACCUAUGUAAAGCUCCUUCGACGAGUCGAGUUGUUUGGGAAUGCAGCUCUAAAUGGGAGGUAAAUUUCUUCUAAAGCUAAAUAUUGGCGAGAGACCGAUAGCGCACAAGUAGAGUGAUCGAAAGAUGAAAAGCACUUUGGAAAGAGAGUUAAAAAGCACGUGAAAUUGUUGAAAGGGAAGCGCUUGCAAUCAGACUUGUUUAAACUGUUCGGCCGGUCUUCUGACCGGUUUACUCAGUUUGGACAGGCCAGCAUCAGUUUCGGCGGCCGGAUAAAGGCUCUGGGAAUGUGGCCUUCACUUCGGUGAAGGUGUUAUAGCCCAGGGUGUAAUACGGCCAGCCGGGACUGAGGUCCGCGCUUCGGCUAGGAUGC